This 753-nucleotide long non-coding RNA is filed under the name Citrus maxima (pomelo). RNAcentral describes it as "long non-coding RNA (CMAX_LNC000288)". Lineage: Eukaryota; Viridiplantae; Streptophyta; Magnoliopsida; Sapindales; Rutaceae. The record is from RNAcentral.
CCAUAUUUCACUUUCGAAUUUGGAGAUCCGGCAGUUCGAUUCUUUUUUUGGGUACACAAGGCGCACAAGAGAUACACCCAGCACAAAGGUGAAUCUAGAUUGAAGAUUCAAUGAACAACUCUAGAAAACAUAUAUAAAAACAAACAUCACUGGAGAAUUGGGUAGAAUCAAUUCUCCAUGAAUUACUAAAACUCAAAGUAGGAAACUAAUCUGUUAUGAGCGUUUCUACAUCAAUUGUACAAAAAAUAAAAAAUAAAUACAUUAAUUGACUAUUAUAUGCUAUGGUUGUAGCUCGAUUGGUAGUUUUUUGAAUUCGAGUAUUAAUAUAAUAAGGGGCAUGAGUUGGUGUUCAGUGAGUGAGGUUUCUCAUCCCAUACAAAUUUUUUGAAGGAAAAAAAAAUACAUUUUUUGACUGAUGUACAAUCUAACAGCUAUGGAUGAUUCAUAGGAGGGUGUAGAGGAGGUGGUGGAGAUCCUCUAGGCUUGUCUUUAUCCCGACCUUGAGCUCGAAGAAUUCGAGCACGCUAAUUCCAAGCUGCAUAUGGCCAUUUAUCAGUGCCUAUCUUGCAUUUUCUGCAGUUACUAAGAGCAGGAGGAACUGUUGACAACGCUAAACAACUUCUAGGGUCAGGCAAUAAAAUUGCAAACAAAGCAAAGAUUGCAAUAGUUGAGAGCUUUUCCAUUUGUAAUGAAGGAAGAGCUUGCGUUAUUUGAUGAGUCACCUGCCACAUUCAUAUAGAGUUUCUAUGUGUU